RNAcentral lists this small RNA (213 nucleotides) under Hortaea werneckii EXF-2000. Its description in RNAcentral is "A. fumigatus sRNA Afu_182". It matches the Rfam family "A. fumigatus sRNA Afu_182". The record is from Rfam by way of RNAcentral. Lineage: Eukaryota; Fungi; Ascomycota; Dothideomycetes; Mycosphaerellales; Teratosphaeriaceae.
AUAUGAACAACGCAAAUUAUCAACACUGCCUUAAAAGCAUUUUCGAUUCGAGAGCCCGCUGUGCCUUAAACACGUGCAGUGUGUCCGGCUCCAUGACGACGAAAACCGUCUGUGCUAGUGGAGAGGAAAGGAUUUCAUCAGAGGAUCUUGGGUGCCGUUGGCUUCUAGUCUUUUUGGAGACGGUGAGGUCGAGGGCAAUGAUCAGCUGUACAU